This 728-nucleotide ribosomal RNA is filed under the name uncultured archaeon. Its description in RNAcentral is "bacterial SSU rRNA". It matches the Rfam family "Archaeal small subunit ribosomal RNA", at positions 581 to 1306 of the family's 1478-position model. The record is from RNAcentral.
AUACUGCUGAGCUAGGGACCGGGAGAGGCCGAGGGUAUUCCCGGGGUAGGGGUGAAAUCCUGUAAUCCCGGGAGGACCACCUGUGGCGAAGGCGCUCGGCUGGAACGGGUCCGACGGUGAGGGACGAAGGCCUGGGGAGCGAACCGGAUUAGAUACCCGGGUAGUCCAGGCUGUAAACGAUGCGGGCUAGGUGUCACCGGAGCUACGAGCUCCGGUGGUGCCGGAGGGAAGCCGUUAAGCCCGCCGCCUGGGAAGUACGGCCGCAAGGCUGAAACUUAAAGGAAUUGGCGGGGGAGCACUACAACGGGUGGAGCCUGCGGUUUAAUUGGAUUCAACGCCGGGAAGCUUACCGGGGGAGACAGCGGGAUGAAGGUCGGGCUGAAGACCUUACCAGACUAGCUGAGAGGUGGUGCAUGGCCGCCGUCAGUUCGUACUGUGAAGCAUCCUGUUAAGUCAGGCAACGAGCGAGACCCGCGCCCUCAGUUGCCAGCGGGUCCCUUCGGGGACGCCGGGCACACUGAGGGGACUGCCGGCGCUAAGCCGGAGGAAGGUGCGGGCAACGGCAGGUCCGUAUGCCCCGAAUCCCCCGGGCUACACGCGGGCUACAAUGGCCGGGACAAUGGGUACCGACCCCGAAAGGGGUGGGUAAUCUCCUAAACCCGGUCUAACCUGGGAUCGAGGGCUGCAACUCGCCCUCGUGAACCUGGAAUCCGUAGUAAUCGCGUCAC